RNAcentral lists this long non-coding RNA (2397 nucleotides) under Helianthus annuus (common sunflower). The record is from RNAcentral. Lineage: Eukaryota; Viridiplantae; Streptophyta; Magnoliopsida; Asterales; Asteraceae.
UAUUGGUGCACAACUGCACUCAGAAAGUCAAAAUUGAAAGGGUGAGAGAUUGAUUGGUUAUGUUAUUGCAAUAUUAAAAUGUGAACGUAUAAGAUUUAUUGGUUGUAUAAGAUUGCUUUAUUCAUAGUAUUGUUAUUGUUUGUCAUGUUCUGUGACAUUGAUUCUUAUAUGGGUUUGUGUAAUUUCUCUUGAUCUGUUAAUAUGUUUUGCAAUUUUAUAUGGGUUGAUAGAAGUAAAUUUUCAAAUUGGUUUGUGUUUGGGAAUUUUGUGGAUACACUGUUGUUUCAAAAUACAAAAUUAUAGGGUAAUUUUGACUUUCAAGUUUUUUUUUCUUUUGGCUUUCUAUGACUAGGUAUUUGGUAAUCUACCAAAUUCUUCGUCAAUCGCUCGAUUCCUCCAAUUACGGAGAAUUUGAAGAAAGGUGUGUUACAUGCCGAUGGGUAGAAAUUUAUGGGGAAACUUUCAGAUGAGUAAACAGGUAGAAUCUUGAAGCUGGGGUGCCAGAACUGAUGGAACGGAAAGCGAUUAUUGAUGGAGUUAUGGCUGGACACUUCCGUCUAGAGAACGUUUGAAAUAAAUAGCAGAAAAGGAGGAAUAUGAAUAAUUACAAGGAAUGCAGAGCUCCAUUUAGAAAUCCUACACAUCAGAAGCAACAUAUGCAAGGUUGGCCCUUACUGUUCAGAUCACGUUCUUCAGAGAAACACAAGCCAAGCCAAGCCACGGUGUUCGGGUACCCACUGUUUUUCUUACCCUUUUGCUGCCACAGUUCCAAGUCAUCAAGUCCGAUAAUAUAUUGAAAACUAGCUUCUCCAUUGCCAUCUUGCAGAUAAACAAAAUUUGAUUUUCAAGUUGCAGCUUUUCAGUCUAGGUGCAUUCCAAUCACUUUGCGUAUCAGAAGGUUCCGAAACCGUCAAAGAGAGAACUUAUUCAAACGGAAUCACUAUUCAAUGUAAAGACGAGGAAGAAAGUAGCGCCUUUCAUGGUGCAUUUGAGCAAUGGAAAAGUAAAGCGGUUACUCAAGUUUACCAAAUGGAAUGGUUUCUUCUUCUAAAAGCAAGUUUGAUGAUAAAAUAGAAGCAUCUUCUGCUAAAAUGUAUUUCCAUUACUACGGGCAUCAGCAAAAUAUGAUGCAGGAUUAUGUGAGAACAAGUCAAUAUAUAUCGCUUUCUUUUUCUUUUUUGAGUCGCAUUGUGCUUAUUAAAGCACGGGUCAAAUGAACACAUUUGGGAUUUUAUGGAGCUGAAUUACACGAUAAAUGUUUUUUCUAGGUUCCUACUAUGCUGCGGCGGUUAUUGAGAAUAAAGUCAAUAGCUGGUGAUAUUUUCAAGUUGUUUUAGUAUUUGUGUAGUCUCGCAACUUGGAGAUUAAUCACUUAAUCAGUUAACCAAGUUAAUUCACUAUUCGUGAGUAUUUUAUUCAUAUAACUUCAAGCCUUUUACGACGUUCACCUGUCAAUCACAGUAAGUGUCAAAUGGGUCGAAUCAGUUAUACGGGUUGAAAAUUUCAACCUGUUCACUUAGAAAAAUAUUAGCUAAUAAUGAGUCAAGUCAGUCAGUCGGUCAAACAAGUCAAAUAAAAAGUUCACACAAGUUAAAAUUUCAACUAGGUUAGUUAUAAGUUGGUCAUUUUUUGUUAUGGGUUUUUUUUCUAUAAAACAUGUCAAGCAAAAUAGAUUAGCAAAAGCGGCAACUUAAACAAGUCAAAACAGUUCAAUCCAGCCCUGUUUCAACUUCCACUAAAGUUAGCUUUUUUGACCCAUUGUCCAACUGUACCCAGUUUUUCACCUCUAGAAACAGGUAUUAGUCUUAUGUGCCCUUGAUUAAGUUAAAGAAAUAUAAACUAAUAGAUUAAGAAAAAGAGUUCACCAUAUGACCUUUUACACACUCCUUGACUAUGAACUCUUUUUUAUAUGUUGAUAUGAACUAUCGAGGCCUACCAAUCUUCAAGAUUUGAGCAUAUUUAAAUGUUUUCUAACAAUGGCUGCACUUCUUCAGAUAAUGCAAAUCACAAGGUAUGAGGAAUCAAUUCUUUUAGUAAUGAUUUAAUCAAGAACAAGUUAAUAUUUUAUAUGAAUGCCCCUAAUUUAGUCAUGUUUCAUUUUAACUUUUAUAUAAAAAAUAUUACGUUUAUUUUGGUUUACAACAGUGAUAUAAUAUUUUGCUAUCAUCUUGAUGAUGCAUUCAAGGGAACCAAUUUUGAUGUAAAGAGCCCCUCUUUUCUACUGGUGACUUUCUACGUACAUGACCUAUUGGUCACCGGGUUCAAGUCAAAGACAUUCCCCCGUCAGUCCCGCACUCUCGGACGCGAUUUUCGAUUGGGCCCCGGCCGCCGCGCAAGCUGACUUCCGCCCGGAAACCAUACUGCCCUCACACGAGAGACUCGCUGGGGUAACAGCUG